This 63-nucleotide transfer RNA is filed under the name Osmylus fulvicephalus. RNAcentral's name for it is "tRNA-Ile". Lineage: Eukaryota; Metazoa; Arthropoda; Insecta; Neuroptera; Osmylidae. The record is from RNAcentral.
AAUGAAGUGCCUGAUUAAAGGAUUAUCUUGAUAGGGUAAAUAAUGUGUGACUCACCUUCAUUA